UAGGGAAUCUUCGGCAAUGGACGAAAGUCUGACCGAGCAACGCCGCGUGAGUGAAGAAGGUUUUCGGAUCGUAAAACUCUGUUGUUAGAGAAGAACAAGGACGUUAGUAACUGAACGUCCCCUGACGGUAUCUAACCAGAAAGCCACGGCUAACUACGUGCCAGCAGCCGCGGUAAUACGUAGGUGGCAAGCGUUGUCCGGAUUUAUUGGGCGUAAAGCGAGCGCAGGCGGUUUCUUAAGUGUGAUGUGAAAGCCCCCGGCUCAACCGGGGAGGGUCAUUGGAAACUGGGAGACUUGAGGGCAGAAGAGGAGAGUGGAAUUCCAUGUGUAGCGGUGAAAUGCGUAGAUAUAAGGAGGAACACCAGUGGCGAAGGCGGCUCUCUGGUCUGUAACUGACGCUGAGGCUAGAAAGCGUGGGGAGCAAACAGG
Molecule: ribosomal RNA, 429 nt
Filed under: Gemmatimonadota bacterium
Lineage: Bacteria; Pseudomonadati; Gemmatimonadota
Description: Gemmatimonadetes bacterium partial 16S ribosomal RNA
Rfam family: Bacterial small subunit ribosomal RNA
Source: RNAcentral